GGGAAUAUCCUGAUGCUGAUCCCUUUUCCAAGGAUCCUGGAGUGGGAUCUGUGUCUCCAUCAGAAUUUGAUCCUGGGAAUUUCCUUCCCCAUCCAUGGGAGCUGCAGAUCCCUAAUUCCCAAAUUAGGGAAGGCUCAUAAAUCCAGGGAAACCAGGAGCUCCUUGGGAUUGGGAAUCCCUGUCCAAGGAAAUCAGGAACUUUUUGGGAUUGGAAAUCCCUCUCCAAUGAGAGCAGGAUCUUCCCAAGGUCAGAAAUCCGUAUCCAAGGAAAUCCAGAAUUCCUUGGGAUUGGGAGUCCCUAUCCAAGGAAAUCAAGAACUUUUUGGGAUUGGAAAUUCCUGUCAAAGGAGAGCAGGAACUUCCAAAGGUCAGAAAUCCCUAUCCGAGGAAAUCAGGAACUUUUUGGGAUUGGAAAUCCCUCUCCAGGAAAAGUGGAAGCUUCCCAAGGUCAGAAAUCCAUAUCCAAGGAAAUCAGGAAAUUUUUGGGAUUAAAAAUUCCUGUCCAAGAAGAGCAGGAACUUCCCAAGGUCAGAAACCCUAUCCAGGGAAACCAGGAAUUCCCUGGAAUUGGAAAUCCCUAUCUAGGGAAUGCAGGAGGUUCCAAAGGUCAGAAACCCUAUCCAAGGAAAUCAGGAACUUUUUGGGAUUGGAAAUCCCUGUCCAGGGAAAUCAGGAACAUUUUGGGACUGGGAAUCCCUAUCAAGAGAUAUCAGGAACUUUUUGGGAUUGGAAAUCCCUCUCCAGGAAAAGUGGAAGCUUCCCAAGGUCAGAAAUCCAUAUCCAAGGAAAUCAGGAAAUUUUUUGGAUUGGAAAUUCCUGUCCAAGGAAAUCAGGAAAUUUUUGGGAUUGAAAAUUCCUGUCCAAGAAGAGCAGGAACUUCCCAAGGUCAGAAACCCUAUCCAGGGAAAUCAGGAACUUUUUGGGAUUGGAAAUCCCUGUCCAAGGGGAGCAGGAACUUCCCAAGGUCAGAAACCCUAUCCAGGGAAUUCAGGAACUUUUUGGGAUUGGGAAUCCCUGUCCAGGGAAAUCAGGAACAUUUUGGGACUGGGAAUCCCUAUCAGAGAUAUCAGGAAGUUUUUUGGAAUUGGAAAUCCUUCUUCAGGAAAAGUGAAAGCUUCCCAAGGUCAGAAAUCCCUAUCCAGGGAAUUCAGGAACUUUUUGGGAUUGGGAAUCCCUAUCUAGGGAAAGUGGGAGCUUCCCAAGGUCAGAAAUCUGGAUUGAAGGAAAUCCGGAGUUCCUUGGGAUUGGGAAUCCGUGUCCAGGGAAAUCAGGGAUGUUUUGGGAUUGGGAAUGUCUAUCCAGAGAUAUCAGGACCGUUUUGGGAUUGGAAAUCCCUACAGAGGAAAAACGGGACCUGCUUGGGGUUGGGAAUCCCAAACCAGAGGAGCUUUCCAGGCUCCCUUUUCCAGGGAAAUGGGAUCUGCCAGGCUGGGAAUCCCGGGAAAGCAGCACCAUCAGCCCCAUUCCUGCUGCUCAUCCAUGAAAAUUCCCAUUCCAAGCAGCGGGAACGGGGCUGAGCUCAUGGAAUUCCCACCCUGCAAACCCCAUUUGGGGCCGUUUUUUGGCCGGGCAGGACGGGAUCCAUCCCCUGGAGCAAUCCCACAUUCUCCCCUCCUCUUUUUCCCAGUUUUCCUUGGAUUUCUCCCCCAGUUCCCUCCUUUCCCCGCCCCACCAAGGCUGUAAAUUUCGGACGAGGCGUUAUCCCAAAUAAACUUUUUUUGGAAGG
Molecule: long non-coding RNA, 1726 nt
Organism: Taeniopygia guttata (zebra finch)
Lineage: Eukaryota; Metazoa; Chordata; Aves; Passeriformes; Estrildidae
Source: Ensembl